RNAcentral lists this microRNA (21 nucleotides) under Gallus gallus (chicken). RNAcentral's name for it is "gga-miR-726-3p". Its record names the gene gga-miR-726-3p. Lineage: Eukaryota; Metazoa; Chordata; Aves; Galliformes; Phasianidae. The record is from miRBase by way of RNAcentral.
UUCACCACCGGCAGAACUCGG